CAACUCCCAGGAGCACGCGCGCCCCCCGGUAAGGGGUCUGCAGCCGCCAGAGGCACGGUGAGGAGCGGCUCAGCGGUGGGUGGCGGCCCCGGCCAGGGCGCUGGACGGCGAACGUGGCUUGCUGGCUUACAGGCGCCUUAGCCAAGGUGCCCAGUAGCUCACGGCCAUCCAAGGUUUUUAGGGAACCUGUCGCCCUCUGAAAUGUGUGUCAGCUCUGCGCCGAACUGGGCGCCUUCACUUGGUUUCGGGUUUUCUCUCCUUUCAAGAUCUCUGGCGUUGGCGAGAGUUUGUUUUUUAGAGAAAAAAAAAAAAAAAAAAAAAAAUACCGCAAAAUGAACGUGCGCCGCCCGGGAAUCGAACCCGGGUCGCAAGAAUGGGAAUCUUGCAUGAUACCACUACACCAGCGGCGCUCUCGAGCGCUCUCCCCGCGCGAGCAGUCAAGACUGUAAUGAGGAAGCCCUCCGCGCAUGCCCCACCACGAGAGCCGGGGGCGGCGCAAAGGAGCCGGCGACCGCGUAGGACCUAGCCGGCGGGGCCGCGCGGUGGGAGUCCCGCGGUGCCCUCCAGUGCCCGAGGAGAAGCAGCGAACGUGAGGGACGCGGGCUGCAGGACACCCUCGAUUCGGGCCUGAGCCUAGGAAACCGCUUCACCUGGGCCUCCCCAGGCACAGGAAAGAGGAGCCCGAGAUUAGUCUCUCCAGAGCUGCCUUGAGGAGCUGCCCACAGUGCCCAGUUGCCUGACCUCAGGCCGGUGCUCACCUGCAGGCUCAUGACUUGGAGCUGCAUGCUGGCUAGGCCACACCUGCCCUCGGCACCCCCGGAGCUCAGCAGCCGGAAUGGAUGUGUCUGAGCAGAGGCCUUGGCUGCAGUGGGUGCAUCCACAGCAUCCCUGACCUCUCCUUGGAGAAUAUGGGGGCCACUGGACACCCCCAGGCCCUGAUGCCUGCACAGAGUUCUCCUCUUAUUUCUCUACCAAACUGAGGGUCGGCCUGUUAUUUCUCAUGGCCCAAUAACAAGAUGCAGAUGGACUGGGGAGGAAAAGUGCUUUUAUUUCUGCGACUGGUUACAGGGAGAAGGCCUGGAAAUGAUCACCAGCAAGUUUUCCAGAGGUUGUGUACCUUCCAAGGUGUAUGUCUAUGUGUAAGUGUGCACUCAUCCAAACACAUAAGUGAUUAACUCUUUUUCAUCUGUAACUAAGGUCUGAGUCCUGAAGACCUUCCUCUGGAGCCUCAGUAAACUUAAUGUAAAGGGGUCGAGGUGUUGGAGUGAUUACCUUAUCUUGUCUCCUGCGAAAUCAUAGAGGUUUGGGGAGUUCCUUUGGGCCCCAGAUAAACUUGUCUGUGGAGGACUGGGAAAUUGCUUCAGACCCCCGAUAACCUUGUUUAAUCUUGAAUGCGUCCUGUUAAGAAUUCCUUCAUCAUCUUGUCAUGCUUCGGGCCCCAGGAGGGGCCUGGGCACAACUCGGUGGGCUUUCGUUACCUCCCAGCCUCUGCAGAAGGGCGCUGGCUUUUUUUUCUGUUUUUGAGACAG
Long non-coding RNA from Cebus imitator (Panamanian white-faced capuchin), 1529 nucleotides. RefSeq lists it as uncharacterized. NCBI's taxonomy places the organism in Eukaryota, Metazoa, Chordata, Mammalia, Primates, Cebidae. The transcript is spliced from 3 exons. The record is from RefSeq and is a predicted model, not a curated record.